Molecule: ribosomal RNA, 253 nt
Filed under: uncultured bacterium
Lineage: Bacteria
Description: partial 16S ribosomal RNA
Rfam family: Bacterial small subunit ribosomal RNA
Source: RNAcentral
UACAGAGGUCUCAAGCGUUGUUCGGAAUCAUUGGGUUUAAAGGGUCCGUAGGCGGUUUUGUAAGUCAGUGGUGAAAGCCCAUCGCUCAACGGUGGAACGGCCAUUGAUACUGCAAGACUUGAAUUAUUAGGAAGUAACUAGAAUAUGUAGUGUAGCGGUGAAAUGCUUAGAGAUUACAUGGAAUACCAAUUGCGAAGGCAGGUUACUACUAAUAUAUUGACGCUGAUGGACGAAAGCGUGGGGAGCGAACAGG